CAGCUGCCGCGGUAAUACGAAGGGUGCAAGCGUUAAUCGGAAUUACUGGGCGUAAAGCGUGCGUAGGCGGUUUGUUAAGUCUGCUGUGAAAUCCCCGGGCUCAACCUGGGAAUGGCAGUGGAUACUGGCAAGCUAGAGUGUGUCAGAGGAUGGUGGAAUUCCCGGUGUAGCGGUGAAAUGCGUAGAGAUCGGGAGGAACAUCAGUGGCGAAGGCGGCCAUCUGGGACAACACUGACGCUGAGGCACGAAAGCGUGGGGAGCAAACAGGAUUAGAUACCCCGGUAGUCCCUGUCUCUUAUAC
RNAcentral lists this ribosomal RNA (301 nucleotides) under uncultured bacterium. Its description in RNAcentral is "partial 16S ribosomal RNA". It matches the Rfam family "Bacterial small subunit ribosomal RNA", at positions 509 to 807 of the family's 1533-position model. The record is from RNAcentral.